RNAcentral lists this ribosomal RNA (253 nucleotides) under uncultured bacterium. RNAcentral's name for it is "partial 16S ribosomal RNA". It matches the Rfam family "Bacterial small subunit ribosomal RNA", at positions 524 to 776 of the family's 1533-position model. The record is from RNAcentral.
UACAGAGGGUGCGAGCGUUAAUCGGAAUUACUGGGCGUAAAGCGCACGUAGGUGGCGACGCAAGUCGGGUGUGAAAGCCCCGGGCUCAACCUGGGAAUUGCAUUCGAGACUGCAUUGCUGGAGUAAGGAAGAGGAAGGCGGAAUUUCCGGUGUAGCGGUGAAAUGCGUAGAUAUCAGAAGGAACAUCAGUGGCGAAGGCGGCUUUCUGGACCAAUACUGACGAUCAAGUGCGAAAGCGUGGGGAGCAAACAGG